This 253-nucleotide ribosomal RNA is filed under the name uncultured bacterium. RNAcentral describes it as "partial 16S ribosomal RNA". It matches the Rfam family "Bacterial small subunit ribosomal RNA", at positions 524 to 776 of the family's 1533-position model. The record is from RNAcentral.
UACGUAGGCAGCGAGCGUUGUUCGGAGUUCCUGGGCGUAAAGAGUGCGUAGGCGGUUUUCUAAGUUUGGUGUGAAAUCUCCCGGCUCAACUGGGAGGGUGCGCCGAAGACUGGAAGGCUAGAGUGUGGGAGAGGUAAGCGGAAUUCCUGGUGUAGCGGUGAAAUGCGUAGAUAUCAGGAGGAACACCUGCGGUGUAGACGGCUUACUGGACCAUAACUGAUGCUGAGGCACGAAAGCGUGGGUAGCAAACAGG